This 410-nucleotide long non-coding RNA is filed under the name Anas platyrhynchos platyrhynchos (common mallard). RNAcentral describes it as "lncRNA (ENSAPLG00000028724.1)". Lineage: Eukaryota; Metazoa; Chordata; Aves; Anseriformes; Anatidae. The record is from RNAcentral.
UCUGCUCUCUGCAUAUUGUUCAGGUAAAGCAGAUUUAAAAAAACAAGCAAACAUAAUGAAAACCAGCUGCUGCUGCUCCUGUUCUGUUCCUACUUUCUUGUGCUUUGUCCCUCCCCUUUACAACGUGGUCUGGAUUGAAUGCUGGGCGGGGCCAAAUGGUAUAUGAACCUCAGGCAUGGCAUUAGAGAGCUCCUUCUGCCUGGGCUGCUCCUUGGGGUGCUUUGUGCAGUCGUGAACAGGGAAGGGAAAUCCUCACGUCACAAAGCUCUGAGGGAAGGUGGCGUGCAUGAUGCUGGCCGCUCCUUUCAAGCUUGGACGUAAUUUUCAGGUGGUGUGGAUGAUACUGGCUGCACUGUUGGAGCUUGGAUUCGGAGAGGAACAGGUGAGCACAGUCUUAUGGUGCAUCAGUA